Amblyraja radiata (thorny skate) is the source of this 110-nucleotide long non-coding RNA. RefSeq lists it as uncharacterized. The record is from RefSeq and is a predicted model, not a curated record. The transcript is spliced from 3 exons. Lineage: Eukaryota; Metazoa; Chordata; Chondrichthyes; Rajiformes; Rajidae.
AGGAAAAUGGGGAAUGGAUCAUUGUUAGCUGAGAGGAAGAUGACAAUCAGGCAUACAAUCAGAAAAAAUAAUCAGGAGGUGAGUGAAACUAGUCGGAGAACUAGGGUGGG